Molecule: ribosomal RNA, 425 nt
Filed under: uncultured bacterium
Lineage: Bacteria
Description: partial 16S ribosomal RNA
Rfam family: Bacterial small subunit ribosomal RNA
Source: RNAcentral
GUGGGGAAUCUUGCGCAAUGGACGAAAGCCUGACGCAGCCAUGCCGCGUGAAUGAUGAAGGUCUUAGGAUUGUAAAAUUCUUUCACCGGGGACGAUAAUGACGGUACCCGGAGAAGAAGCUCCGGCUAACUUCGUGCCAGCAGCCGCGGUAAUACGAAGGGGGCUAGCGUUGCUCGGAAUUACUGGGCGUAAAGGGCGCGUAGGCGGACAGCUUAGUCAGAGGUGAAAGCCCAGGGCUCAACCUUGGAAUUGCCUUUGAUACUGGCUGUCUUGAGUUUGGGAGAGGUGAGUGGAACUCCGAGUGUAGAGGUGAAAUUCGUAGAUAUUCGGAAGAACACCAGUGGCGAAGGCGACUCACUGGCCCAAUACUGACGCUGAGGCGCGAAAGCGUGGGGAGCAAACAGGAUUAGAUACCCUUGUAGUCC